GACGGAGGGUGCAAGCGUUGCUCGGAAUUAUUGGGCGUAAAGGGUAGGUAGGUGGUCUCAUUUGUCUGAGGUGAAAUCCUUGGGCUUAACCCAAGAAGUGCCUCAGAAACGGUGAGACUAGAGUCCUGGAGAGGGUCGUGGAAUUCCCGGUGUAGCGGUGAAAUGCGUAGAGAUCGGGAGGAACACCAGAGGCGAAGGCGGCGACCUGGACAGGUACUGACACUCAACUACGAAAGCGUGGGGAGCAAACAGG
This 253-nucleotide ribosomal RNA is filed under the name uncultured bacterium. RNAcentral describes it as "partial 16S ribosomal RNA". It matches the Rfam family "Bacterial small subunit ribosomal RNA", at positions 524 to 776 of the family's 1533-position model. The record is from RNAcentral.